RNAcentral lists this ribosomal RNA (567 nucleotides) under uncultured bacterium. Its description in RNAcentral is "bacterial SSU rRNA". It matches the Rfam family "Bacterial small subunit ribosomal RNA", at positions 337 to 918 of the family's 1533-position model. The record is from RNAcentral.
UCCUACGGGAGGCAGCAGUGAGGAAUUUUCCGCAAUGGGCGAGAGCCUGACGGAGCAAUGCCGCGUGGAGGAUGAAGGCCCGUGGGUUGUAAACUCCUUUUCUCAGAGAAGAAGCCCUGACGGUAUCUGAGGAAUAAGCAUCGGCUAACUCCGUGCCAGCAGCCGCGGUAAUACGGAGGAUGCAAGCGUUAUCCGGAAUCAUUGGGCGUAAAGGGUCCUGAGGUGGCCUGCCCAGUCCGCUGUGAAAGAUCAGGGCUCAACCCUGAAUAUGCGGUGGAAACUAGCAGGCUAGAAUACGGUAGGGGCAGGGGGAAUUCCCGGUGUAGCGGUGAAAUGCAUAGAUAUCGGGAAGAACACCAACGGCGAAGGCACCCUGCUGGGCCGAUAUUGACACUGACAGACGAGAGCUAGGGGAGCGAAUGGGAUUAGAUACCCCAGUAGUCCUAGCCGUAAACGAUGGAUACCAAGUGCUGAACGACUCAAAACGUGCAGUGCUGCAGCUAACGCGCUAAGUAUCCCGCCUGGGGAGUAUGCCCGCAAGGGUGAAACUCAAAUGAAUUGACGGGG